This 253-nucleotide ribosomal RNA is filed under the name uncultured bacterium. RNAcentral's name for it is "partial 16S ribosomal RNA". It matches the Rfam family "Bacterial small subunit ribosomal RNA", at positions 524 to 776 of the family's 1533-position model. The record is from RNAcentral.
UACGGGGGGGGCAAGCGUUGUUCGGAAUUACUGGGCGUAAAGGGCUCGUAGGUGGCCAACUAAGUCAGACGUGAAAUCCCCAGGCUCAACUUGGGAACUGCGUCUGAUACUGGAUGGCUUGAAUUCGGGAGAGGGAUGCAGAAUUCCAGGUGUAGCGGUGAAAUGCGUAGAUAUCUGGAGGAAUACCGGUGGCGAAGGCGGCAUCCUGGACCGAUAUUGACGCUGAGGUGCGAAAGCGUGGGGAGCAAACAGG